GCGAGUGUAGCUCAGCUGGUAGAGCGCGACCUUGCCAAGGUCGAGGUCACGAGUUCGAACCUCGUCACUCGCUCCA
This 76-nucleotide transfer RNA is filed under the name Alkalimonas collagenimarina. Its description in RNAcentral is "tRNA-Gly". It matches the Rfam family "tRNA". Rfam says of the family: Transfer RNA (tRNA) molecules are approximately 80 nucleotides in length. Their secondary structure includes four short double-helical elements and three loops (D, anti-codon, and T loops). Further hydrogen bonds mediate the characteristic L-shaped molecular structure. tRNAs have two regions of fundamental functional importance: the anti-codon, which is responsible for specific mRNA codon recognition, and the 3' end, to which the tRNAs corresponding amino acid is attached (by aminoacyl-tRNA synthetases). tRNAs cope with the degeneracy of the genetic code in two manners: having more than one tRNA (with a specific anti-codon) for a particular amino acid; and 'wobble' base-pairing, i.e. permitting non-standard base-pairing at the 3rd anti-codon position. Lineage: Bacteria; Pseudomonadati; Pseudomonadota; Gammaproteobacteria. The record is from RNAcentral.